GACGAACGCUGGCGGCGUGCUUAACACAUGCAAGUCGAACGGAAAGGCCCUGCUUUUGUGGGGUGCUCGAGUGGCGAACGGGUGAGUAACACGUGAGUAACCUGCCCUUGACUUUGGGAUAACUUCAGGAAACUGGGGCUAAUACCGGAUAGGAGCUCCUGCUGCAUGGUGUGGUUUGGAAAGUUUCGGCGGUUGGGGAUGGACUCGCGGCUUAUCAGCUUGUUGGUGGGGUAGUGGCUUACCAAGGCUGUGACGGGUAGCCGGCCUGAGAGGGUGACCGGCCACAUUGGGACUGAGAUACGGCCCAGACUCCUACGGGAGGCAGCAGUGGGGAAUAUUGCACAAUGGGCGGAAGCCUGAUGCAGCAACGCCGCGUGCGGGAUGACGGCCUUCGGGUUGUAAACCGCUUUCGCCUGUGACGAAGCGUGAGUGACGGUAAUGGGUAAAGAAGCACCGGCUAACUACGUG
Molecule: ribosomal RNA, 468 nt
Filed under: uncultured bacterium
Lineage: Bacteria
Description: partial 16S ribosomal RNA
Rfam family: Bacterial small subunit ribosomal RNA
Source: RNAcentral